RNAcentral lists this long non-coding RNA (1076 nucleotides) under Sparus aurata (gilthead seabream). RNAcentral describes it as "lncRNA (ENSSAUG00010025711.1)". The record is from RNAcentral. Lineage: Eukaryota; Metazoa; Chordata; Actinopteri; Spariformes; Sparidae.
ACUCAGUGUUUAAACUCUGCAGAAUAACUUUUAUUACUAACUUCUCAUCUAUCUAAUUUCUAUAUGUAUAUUUUCUAACUUAGGAGGAUAUCCUUCAGUUUUACCUAACGGACAUGGAGCUACAUCUAAUGGAUAUGGUGCUCAAGCCGGCCCGACCAAUGGACAGCCAAUGAAAGGCAAUGGCUACGGUGCGCAAGCUGGUGGAUACGGUGGACAAGCAACUAAAGGCAAUGGUUAUGGAGUUCCUGCUGCUGCAACACCAAAUGGUAAUGGUGGACACUAUAAUGGUUAUGGUGCUGCAGCUGGUGUUCCAGGUGGAAAUGGUGCUAAAGCCAAUGGUAAUGGUGCUGCAGCUGCUGCACACAAUGGACCUGUAACAAAGGGCAAUGGAGGAUAUCCUUCAGUUUUACCUAACGGACAUGGAGCUACAUCUAAUGGAUAUGGUGCUCAAGCCGGCCCAACCAAUGGACAGCCAAUGAAAGGCAAUGGCUACGGAGCGCAAGCUGGUGGAUACGGUGGACAAGCAACUAAAGGCAAUGGCUAUGGUGCUGGAUCUAAUGUUCCUAAUGGAAAUGGGGCUAAAACCAAUGGUCAAGGAGCUGCAGCCGGCGGCAAUGGAGCAAGACCAAAUGGACAAGGGGGAGCUGGGAGUAAACCUAUGAAAGGUUAUGGCCGACCACCUUUUGGGGCAGGUCCAGGUGUUGGGAUGGGACCCUCCAGAGGUCUGGGUGUACCUCAGAUUGCCAAGAACCAAAGGGCCCAAUCACAUGGUGGAAAUGGUGGUAAUGGUUAUAAUGGCUAUGGAGCUCGACCCAUGGGAGGUUACAAUGGUGGUUAUGGCCGUGCUGGUAUGGGUCUCGGACCUCGGUAUGGAAAUGGAGGGAUGAAGGGACCAAAGCCAGGCUAUGGUGCUGCAGCUGGUGUACCCAAUGGGCAAGGUGCAAAAACCAAUGGUUAUGCUGGAGCCAGAGCCCCCAAUGGGAAUGGAGCCAUGCCAAAUGGGUAUGGUAAUAUUCCAAAUGGGUAUGGUGCCAAACCCAACAGUGAGAUGGUUUACUUCUUUUGAAAAAUCUUUU